AAAAGCUAUCGCCUGCUCUUUUUACCUGUCGCGUCGCCGGAGGUGCUAUCGUAGCUGCGCACAUACAGCUGCUUUUCAUCACCAUUGCUCAUCACAAUAAGCCAAAAGGACUCCUGCGCAGAAUUCCUGCACGCCCGUAUUUCUCUGUUCUCAGCCGUCUUUUGCUACCAUGUCGUUUAUGCAGACAGGCCCGCAGAGCAUGCUGAAGGAUGGCUCGACGUUCUUAGACGAUCCGGUGCUGAAGAAUAUCGAAGCAUGCCGCGAGCUGUCGAAAAUCACGCGCAGCUCCAUGGGCCCGAACGGGCUGUGCAAGAUGGUCAUCAACCAUCUCAACAAGCUGUUUGUCACGCACGACGCCGCCACCAUUUUGCGCGAGCUGGAGGUGGAGCACCCCGCGGCGAAGCUGCUGGUGCAGGCUGCCAACGCCAUGCAAGAGGAGGUUGGUGAUGGCACCAACUUUGUGGUGACACUCUGUGGCGAGCUUCUUUCGCAGGCGGAGUCGCUGGUGCGGAUGGGAUUGCACCCGAGCGAGAUUGUCGAAGGCUAUAAGAAGGCGGGCAACAAGAGCUUGGAGCUGCUGGACACGAUGGUGUGCAAGACCGCCGAUGACUGCCUCCGCAAGGAGCAGGUGGUGGAUGCGAUUCGUACCUCGAUUGCGUCAAAGCAGUACGGAUAUGAGGACUUCCUCGCGGAUCUUGUAGCGGAGGCCUGCAUCAACGUGUCCCCAUCGAACGUUCGCUCUUUCAACGUCGACAACGUGCGCGUGGUGAAGCUCGACGGCGAGUCGAUUCUCUCCACGAAGCUCGUCCGUGGCUUCGUGAUCGGCCGCAACACAGAGAGCAAUCUGAAGCACCUCAAGAACGCCAAGGUGGCCGUGUACAGCUGCGCUGUGGACGUGCCGUCUUUGGAGACAAAAGGGACAGCGCUGAUUGAGAACGCCGACGAUCUCAUCCAGUACUCACGCAAGGAGGAGGAGAUUAUGCUGGAGAUCAUCUCGAACAUUCACAAUUCUGGCGCCAACGUUAUCGUUUCCAACUCCAGUUUUGGCGAUCUGGCGCUGCACUUCAUCAAUCGCCUCGGCAUGAUGGCGGUGCGCGUCCCAUCUAAGUUCGAUCUUCGUCGUCUUUGUGCGGCCGUCGGCGCUCGCGUGUUGACCCGCCUAGACGCACCGUCUAUGGAGGACAUGGGCGCGUGUGACUCAGUGGACGUGCUUGACAUUGGUGGCAAGAACGUGACGGCGUUUGCCCAGGACAAGGACGACUCGAAGCUGUCCACGAUUGUGGUGCGCGGCGCCACGCAGAACGUCUUGGAUGACGUAGAGCGCGCCAUCGACGACGGCGUGAACGUGUUCAAGGCUUUGACGAAGGACAAGCGACUUGUGGCGGGUGCUGGCGCGGUAGAAAUGGAACUGCAGAAAGAGCUUACCCUCUAUGCCGAAGCGAACCCUGGUCUCGACCAGUACGCUGUGCGCAAGUAUGCGUCCAGCUUCGAGGUGGUGGCUCGCACGCUUGCCGAGGUUAGUGGUUUCAACGGUACCGAUAUGGUGACGCAGUUAGAGGCCGACCACAACGCUGGAAAGAAGCACCAGGGUGUGAAUCUGAGCGAUGGCACCACGUUGGAUGCCGUGGAGGCUGGCAUUGUGGAGCCCCACAUGGUCAAGCUCUGGGCAAUUAGGCUAGCCACCGACACUGUAAUCACGGUGCUUUCAGUGAACCAGAUCAUCGUGGCGAAGCAGGCCGGCGGCCCCAAGAACCGUCCCGACCAAGCACGCGACGCAGACUGAGGAGGCGGAGCGAGAAUAGAUCGUGCCAUGAGAACCCCUAAUGCUGCCUGUAAAAACGAGCAAACAAGUGAUACCGCUCGCGUUCACACCAUCUUAUCCUCUGCGUGCUUCCCACUGCGCGAGACGCUGCUCUGUAGCGUUUCUUCGUGGCCAUACAUCCAAGUUGGCAGGUGUGGGUGUAGGCGGUAAGAGCGUGAUUGUGGGUGGCGGUCAAUUAUUUGCCUCUGGGUCUCUGUUCUCCGUUUUCACUGGUCCUUGCUGUUACUUGCAGAAUAGAGAGCCCACCUUUGUUUUUCCUCCCCCUCUUUCGCGCGUUUGAUGCCUUGUGAAAAAAAAAGAGAGAAAACCAGUGUUCGUAUCUGCCUGAAGGAGAAGCGGUAGAAGUCGUUGAAAAACGAGCAAGGAGGCCGCGGCGCCCCCGUGCGUGUGCGUUAUUUUUCAGGGUGGAGUUAUGGUCUCUGUGUUGCCUUGGCUCUCAUUCUCGUCGUUGCGGUGUCGCUCUUUUUCGACCUUCGACGGUGUGAGGGACACAUUUCGAUUUGGUCUGUGAUGUGUGUCUGCCUCGCUGUGCCGGCCCGCGUUCCUUUCAUUAAGUAAAAAAGGCGAAAUAAGGCAAGAACAAAAAAAAACGAACACGAUAGCACGCGGCAAAAACUGCAAAAUAACUGUCAACAGGAAGUCUUCACUGAUGCGCCCUAUAGGCGCGCAACAGAAGGGAAAGGGCAGAAAGCAGCAAAGCAAUAGGGUAUUGGAGCACCAGCGUUAUGUUCUAGAGGGAGGGCUGUUGGCUGGCCACAGCGGAAAGGGAGCAAGGGCGCCGAGCGAGUGUCGGCGUAUCUUUCGUUUAGCCUUGUGCGCUGCCCUUCUCAAGCAUCUUUGUUGCUGUUUCUCUCUUUUACUCCAGUUCUGGGGCCAGGUGCCCAUCCACG
This 2712-nucleotide unclassified non-coding RNA is filed under the name Leishmania donovani. RNAcentral's name for it is "gene:LdHU3.36.9620(CDS-product:T-complex_protein_ 1_theta_subunit_putative)". The record is from RNAcentral. Lineage: Eukaryota; Euglenozoa; Kinetoplastea; Trypanosomatida; Trypanosomatidae.